AUGGUGGGAUAGAUUCUGUGAUGGAAUGGGAAGUGGAUGAAGUGCUGAACUGGACAAAUACCCUCAACUUUGAUGAGUAUAUUGCCAACUGGAAGCAAAUUGCUACAAGCAACUCUUCAGUUAACUUCAAAGGUAUAGGACUAAAAUGUUCCAGUAUUACUACCUCUAUGGAUCAUUAUACUAAAUGGAGGUUGCAGCCAACACAGUAAGUCAAGAAAAAGCAACGGUUCCAGUGCCUACCUCGCAAGCGCAAGGUCACGAGUUUGAUCCCCGGUACCCAAAAAAAGAAAAAGAAAAAGCAAAAACAAAAAAUCUGGGAAGAAGCAUAUCUGAAAUUAUUCAUAAUUAUGUGUAUAUAAAAUCUAAGACUCUUUCAAAAGAAAGAAUAAGAGUUUACCAUGAUUACUGGAC
This 411-nucleotide long non-coding RNA is filed under the name Heterocephalus glaber (naked mole-rat). RNAcentral's name for it is "lncRNA (ENSHGLG00000033857.1)". Lineage: Eukaryota; Metazoa; Chordata; Mammalia; Rodentia; Bathyergidae. The record is from RNAcentral.